Long non-coding RNA from Solanum tuberosum (potato), 472 nucleotides. RefSeq lists it as uncharacterized. The transcript is spliced from 6 exons. The record is from RefSeq and is a predicted model, not a curated record. NCBI's taxonomy places the organism in Eukaryota, Viridiplantae, Streptophyta, Magnoliopsida, Solanales, Solanaceae.
GUCCAUACAGGUGGCUCCGUGAUUGAUAAUUGGAUAAAUUUCUUAUUUGAUAUCCUAUUAUGGUCUUAGCAACCGUUUUAUUGUUUAAUCGACUCGGUUGUGAAUGUUUCCCCUUUUUAGGAACAUUCAUUGAGCAACAGGCAUUAUCUUCUGCCAUUGGAGAUAGAGACGUCGAGCGUUCUGUAGUAGUAGUUGGUGAUACCAGCAGCAUAGCUCCAAGACCAAUCUCAUUAGGAGGAAUGUAUUUGUUCCUUGCAUAAAUGAGAGUAGCAUCUUCACCACCGUCUGGAUUCCAGAUAGGAUCUUUGUCUGCUUCUCCCAACAAAAGGUGAGAGUUGAAGUCCAUACAGGUGGCUCCGUGACUGAUAAUUGGAUAAAUUUCUUAUUUGAAUUAGGGGAAAAAACAGAGAAGAAAUUGUACAAGCUAGCCAAUGCGAUAGAGAGGAGGGCACGUGACCUGGACCAAGUGACG